This 495-nucleotide ribosomal RNA is filed under the name uncultured bacterium. RNAcentral's name for it is "partial 16S ribosomal RNA". It matches the Rfam family "Bacterial small subunit ribosomal RNA", at positions 28 to 507 of the family's 1533-position model. The record is from RNAcentral.
GACGAACGCUGGCGGCGUGCCUAAUACAUGCAAGUAGAACGCUGAAGGAGGAGCUUGCUUCUCCGGAUGAGUUGCGAACGGGUGAGUAACGCGUAGGUAACCUGCCUGGUAGCGGGGGAUAACUAUUGGAAACGAUAGCUAAUACCGCAUAAGAGUAGAUGUCGCAUGACAUUUGCUUAAAAGGUGCAACUGCACCACUACCAGAUGGACCUGCGUUGUAUUAGCUAGUUGGUGAGGUAACGGCUCACCAAGGCAACGAGUCAUAGCCGACCUGAGAGGGGGAGCGGCCACACUGGGACGGAGACACGGCCCUAACUCCCACGGGGGGCAGCAGUAGGGGAUCUUCGGCAAUGGACGCAAGUCUGACCGAGCAACGCCGCGUGAGUGAAGAAGGUGUUCGGAUCGUAAAGCUCUGUUGUAAGGGAAGAACGAGUGUGAGAGUGGAAAGUUCACACUGUGCCGGUAUCUUACCAGAAAGGGACGGCUAACUACGUG